This is a non-coding RNA of Immersiella caudata, 91 nucleotides long. Lineage: Eukaryota; Fungi; Ascomycota; Sordariomycetes; Sordariales; Lasiosphaeriaceae. The record is from the annotation of a GenBank genome assembly.
GCCCGCGUGGCGCAAUGGUUAGCGCGUCAGACUUUUAUCUUCAUCCUGUGAAGAAAUCUGAAUGUUGCGAGUUCGAAUCUCGCCGUGGGCG